RNAcentral lists this ribosomal RNA (437 nucleotides) under uncultured bacterium. RNAcentral describes it as "bacterial SSU rRNA". It matches the Rfam family "Bacterial small subunit ribosomal RNA", at positions 297 to 722 of the family's 1533-position model. The record is from RNAcentral.
AGGAUGAUCAGCCACACUGGGACUGAGACACGGCCCAGACUCCUACGGGAGGCAGCAGUGGGGAAUAUUGGGACAAAUGGGCGCAAGCCUGAUCCAGCAAUGCCGCGUGGGGUGAAGACGGCCUGCGGGUUGUAAAGCCCUUUAAGCGGGGAGGAACGCCGGAACGCGAAUACCGUUUCGGACUGACGUUACCCGCAGAAUAAGCACCGGCUAACUCCGUGCCAGCAGCCGCGGUAAUACGGGGGGUGCGAGCGUUAAUCGGAAUUACUGGGCGUAAAGCGUGCGUAGGCGGUGCAAUCAGUCAGCCGUGAAAGCCCCGGGCUUAACCUGGGGAAUGGCGGUUGAGACGGUUGGACUAGAGUGGGCUAGAGGAUCGUGGAACUCCCGGUGUAGCGGUGAAAUGCGUAGAGAUCGGGAAGAACACCGAUGGCGAAGGC